AAGCCAACAACACGGUUGAAGGCAUUACGAUUUUCGUACCGAAAGACAGCGCAUUCAAGGCUCUUAAGAAGCCUUCAUUGUCAAAUCUAACUGAUGAUCAGUUCAAAUCAGUGCUCCUUUACCAUGCCUUGCCACGAUACUAUGCCCUUGCGGACUUCAAUGACCUAAGUGAGAAAGGCCUUAUUAGUACACUUGCUGGUGGCCAAUACACUUUGCAAUUCAACGAUGAGUCUGGUACCGUCCGCCUCGAUUCCGGAUGGAGCAAAACAAAAGUCACUAGCGCAGUACAUACGUCCAAGCCAGUCGCAGUCUAUCAAAUCGAUAAGGUCCUUCUUCCGGAGGCCAUUUUCGGGACCGAC
This 359-nucleotide long non-coding RNA is filed under the name Gossypium barbadense (sea-island cotton). Its description in RNAcentral is "long non-coding RNA (GBAR_LNC006866)". Lineage: Eukaryota; Viridiplantae; Streptophyta; Magnoliopsida; Malvales; Malvaceae. The record is from RNAcentral.